GACGAACGCUGGCGGCGUGCUUAACACAUGCCAGUCGAACGGAAAGGCCCUGCUUUUGUGGGGUGCUCGAGUGGCGAACGGGUGAGUAACACGUGAGUAACUUGCCCUUGACUUUGGGAUAACUUCAGGAAACUGGGGCUAAUACCGGAUAGGAGCUCCUGCUGCAUGGUGGGGGUUGGAAAGUUUCGGCGGUUGGGGAUGGACUCGCGGCUUAUCAGCUUGUUGGUGGGGUAGUGGCUUACCAAGGCUUUGACGGGUAGCCGGCCUGAGAGGGUGACCGGCCACAUUGGGACUGAGAUACGGCCCAGACUCCUACGGGAGGCAGCAGUGGGGAAUAUUGCACAAUGGGCGGAAGCCUGAUGCAGCAACGCCGCGUGCGGGAUGACGGCCUUCGGGUGGGAAACCGCUUUCGCCUGUGACGAAGCGUGAGUGACGGUAAUGGGUAAAGAAGCACCGGCUAACUACGU
Molecule: ribosomal RNA, 467 nt
Filed under: uncultured bacterium
Lineage: Bacteria
Description: partial 16S ribosomal RNA
Rfam family: Bacterial small subunit ribosomal RNA
Source: RNAcentral